Molecule: ribosomal RNA, 712 nt
Filed under: Peribacillus simplex
Lineage: Bacteria; Bacillati; Bacillota; Bacilli; Caryophanales; Bacillaceae
Description: bacterial SSU rRNA
Rfam family: Bacterial small subunit ribosomal RNA
Source: RNAcentral
UGCAGUCGAGCGAUCGAUGGGAGCUUGCUCCCUGAGAUUAGCGGCGGACGGGUGAGUAACACGUGGGCAACCUGCCUAUAAGACUGGGAUAACUUCGGGAAACCGGAGCUAAUACCGGAUACGUUCUUUUCUCGCAUGAGAGAAGAUGGAAAGACGGUUUUGCUGUCACUUAUAGAUGGGCCCGCGGCGCAUUAUCUAGUUGGUGAGGUAAUGGCUCACCAAGGCGACGAUGCGUAGCCGACCUGAGAGGGUGAUCGGCCACACUGGGACUGAGACACGGCCCAGACUCCUACGGGAGGCAGCAGUAGGGAAUCUUCCGCAAUGGACGAAAGUCUGACGGAGCAACGCCGCGUGAACGAAAAAAGCCUUCGGGUCGUAAAGUUCUGUUGUUAGGGAAGAACAAGUACCAGAGUAACUGCUGGUACCUUGACGGUACCUAACCAGAAAGCCACGGCUAACUACGUGCCAGCAGCCGCGGUAAUACGUAGGUGGCAAGCGUUGUCCGGAAUUAUUGGGCGUAAAGCGCGCGCAGGUGGUUCUUUAAGUCUGAUGUGAAAGCCCACGGCUCAACCGUGGAGGGUCAUUGGAAACUGGGGAACUUGAGUGCACAAAAGGAAAGUGGAAUUCCAAGUGUAUCGGUGAAAUGCGUAGAGAUUUGGAGGAACACCAGUGGCGAAAGCGACUUUCUGGUCUGUAACUGACACUGAGGCGC